Molecule: ribosomal RNA, 576 nt
Filed under: uncultured Lentisphaeria bacterium
Lineage: Bacteria; Pseudomonadati; Lentisphaerota; Lentisphaeria
Description: bacterial SSU rRNA
Rfam family: Bacterial small subunit ribosomal RNA
Source: RNAcentral
CGCACAAGCCGUGGAGCAUGUGGCUUAAUUCGAGGCAACGCGAAGAACCUUACCUAGAUUUGACAUACAUUUGACCGCCAUGGAAACAUGGCUUCCAGCAAUGGCAGAUGUACAGGUGCUGCAUGGCUGUCGUCAGCUCGUGCCGUGAGGUGUUCGGUUAAGUCCGGCAACGAGCGCAACCCAUGUCUUUAGUUGCUACCAGGUAAUGCUGGGCACUCUAAAGAGACUGCCCGUGUUAAGCGGGAGGAAGGCGUGGAUGACGUCAAGUCCGUAUGGCCUUUAUAUCUAGGGCUGCACACGUGCUACAAUGGUCGGUACAAAGGGAAGCAAUACCGCGAGGUGGAGCAAAUCCUUAAAACCGUCCUUAGUUCAGAUUGCAGUCUGCAACUCGACUGCAUGAAGUUGGAAUCGCUAGUAAAUGCGUAUCAGACACGACGCAUUGAAUACGUUCCCGGGCCUUGUACACACCGCCCGUCACAUCAUGGGAGCUGAUUGCACCCGAAGUCGCUCACUCAACCNUUCAACAGGAGAGAGGCGCCUAAGGUGUGGUUAGUGACUGGGAUGAAGUCGUAACAA